GUGCCAGCAGCCGCGGUAAUACGGAGGGUGCGGGCGUGAAUCGGAAUUACUGGGCGGAAAGCGUGCGCAGGCGGUUUUGUAAGACAGGCGUGAAAUCCCCGGGCUCAACCAGAGAACUGCGCUUGUGACUGCAAGGCUAGAGUACGGCAGAGGGGGGUGGAAUUCCACGUGUAGCAGUGAAAUGCGUAGAGAUGUGGAGGAACACCAAUGGCGAAGGCAGCCCCCUGGGUCGAUACUGACGCUCAUGCACGAAAGCGUGGGUAGCGAACAGGAUUAGAUACCCUGGUAGUCCACGCCCUAA
This 301-nucleotide ribosomal RNA is filed under the name uncultured bacterium. RNAcentral's name for it is "bacterial SSU rRNA". It matches the Rfam family "Bacterial small subunit ribosomal RNA", at positions 505 to 805 of the family's 1533-position model. The record is from RNAcentral.